This 3645-nucleotide long non-coding RNA is filed under the name Sus scrofa (pig). RNAcentral's name for it is "lncRNA (ENSSSCG00050032450.1)". The record is from RNAcentral. Lineage: Eukaryota; Metazoa; Chordata; Mammalia; Artiodactyla; Suidae.
UUAGACAUGUCCUGUGAGUGAAAAUCCUCUCGGGGUAUGAGUCUUUAUUCAGCUCAGCUAAAUUGUCUUCAAGUUAGUUCAGGAAAGUGUGUUGACUUCUGAAUUCAAAGUCACUAGUAUCAGCAAUUGGACCCCGUCUCCCACUUCUGUGCCUUCAGCCCAGGAGGCUCAUUAAUUACAACAUCUUUUCCUCUUGAGCCAAUACCUUGCCUCGGAGUUCUUCUCAUCACAGCCUGCCCCUGCCCUAGGAGGAGAGUUGGCUCCUGAGAUGAAACCUCUUUAUUCUCCCUGGCUCAUCGUGUGGACCUUUGAAGAUGCUGGUAGGUGGAGACAGUGGGCUCUAUGACAUGCCCACCUGAAAGACCUUCUAGUCUAGAGAAAGGGUUCAGGCAGCAUGAGAAACCAUUAGGGGAUGUUAUUGUGGGCAGGAGUUAGUUUGGAUCUUUCUCAUGGUGGUUUGAAUCCCUGUAACAGCCCUGUUUUAACCAUGCAGUGUGUGACAGAGUGCUGUGGAAGAUAGGUCGAAGUGAUCAAUGGCAUCUGACUUUUCAACAGAUACGUAUUGGAAAGUCCGUUGUCUUUUGCAUCAUCAUUUUGUGUUGGCUCCAGUCUGAGGCUAUUUGUAAUUUACAGUACAUGGCAUUAGGCUUUGGACCUCACAGUUUCAGGGCCAUCCAAACUUUGGGAGUUGUCAUUUAGUGCCCCAGAUAGCUCUCUGAUGGGAGCAUCUUUGAAGACUGGGCUGAGAGUGGGUGGAGAUGGGAGUAAUUUUGUAUUUGAUGACACAGAGAAGGAAAUAGUUUCUAUAUGUACAUAAACAUAAGCAUAACAUAUGUGUAAUUUCUAUGGAUUUUUGAAGGCAUUUAUUACUCUAUAUGUGCCCUCUUUGAAAUUUAUGGUAAGAAUAUGGCAAAGGAGAAAAAUAUAUUAACAUUUGGGGUUUCAUUGUGUUCAUAAAAGGCUGUUGUCAAAUCCCCUGACUUUUUACAAUGAAGGGAAAUGUCCCUAGUGAUGGAGCAUCAGGGUUUCGGGAUGAAUCUUUAGAAUUUGAGCAGCCCUGCAAGGCACCGGGCUCAUCUCUGUUCCCCAGCUCAGUUAUGCACAAAGGUCCUUUUCUAGGUGACAUAUCAUGUUGUAUUCCAAAGUACACUUUCUUUUAAUUUACAACUUAAUUUUCAACCUAAUUCAGAAGAUUGAUACUAUAAUGCUAUUUGCAGAAGUAUUGAAAUGUCAGUAAGUUUUAUUGUAGUAAUAAAGAGUAUUCCAUAUAUCACACACUCUAUAGGGAUCCUUGCUUUUUGCAUAGAUCUUCAUAGCAACAACCAGUGGCUAAAUGCUGGCAAUCAUUAAUUUUUAAAGAAGACAUGGUUAUGAUGACUUGAGGAAUUAAGGCUAGUGGUGAAGAAUGAACUUUAAUUUUUGACACUUUUUUUUUUGGUUGCCUACUAAAGUGAGGCGACAGCAAGAUUAUAAAAAAUGGCCCAAAUCCCAGGUUCCUAAUACUUAAAAUGCUGUCUGCUCAUAAAAAGAUUUCAGUGAGGGAGAGGCCAUCUUUGAGCUCCCUGUAACAAAUGGGUAUCAGUGGCCCAUGAAAUAAUCAAUGCCACUAAUCCAUCCUAGGGCCUGCCAAUAUGUUAAUGGCCCUGGUGCAUCGUUAUUGCUACAUGACCAUAAAUCACGCCGGUACCAGAAUGCAUUGCUGUCGAGGCCUCAAACCCCUCGCCUGGAAUAAAAUGCUGCCUCCUAACAAUUAAUGUCCAAACAUUUUGCAGCUUUGUGCCUUGAUUGUUUUCAGAUGCUAAAAAAGUAAGUAGGACAGAGUGUAAAUCAAUAAAACUAUAAGACAAAGUGUUUUAAUAAUAGGAAGGUUCAGAGUAAAUCAUAGUUCUGUGUUUAUUAUUGCUUUUGGGGUUAUAAAUAAAGAGUUACUUUCUACUAUGCAGCAAAGCUACUAAGCUAACAUGGGGGACGGAGGCCAGGGCUAAUCUCUCUGAAUGUGGUUUCCUUCCCUUAUACCACCGUGGGAAACCAAAUCAGGCCAACUGGAGCCACAAAACCUGACUUUUUAUGGGAAGGCAGUGUCUGGUGUUCACUCUGUAUAAAAUUGGAUUCUGGAGUUCCUGCUAUGGCUCAGUGGGUUAAGAACCUGACUAGUAUACAUGAGGAGGUGGGUUUGAUCCCCGGUCUUGCUCAGUGGGUUCAGGAUCUGGUGUUGUUACAAGUUACAGUAUAGAUCACAGAUGCACCUGGGGUCUGGCAUGGCUGUGGCUGUGGCGUAGGCUGGCGGCUGCAGCUCUGAUUUGACCCCUAGCCUGGGAACUUCCAUAUGCUACAGGUACAACCCUAAAAAUAAAAAAAGAGGUUUUCCUGGAAAGCUUCAGGCUUCAAAUGGCCAGUAUGGUGAGAUUUUACCAUAUUUACCUAUGGUAACACAGGUGAUGGAAUGAUGUUAAAGCAGCACCCAAGUUGGUUUGGGGUGCCUACAAGCUUUUACUCGUGUUUGUUUCCAUUAAAACAUCUGACCUGGGAUGUCAGCUUGAGCCAUAGAAAUCCACAGCUGAACCAUAGGCAAACCUAAAAGACCUUAUUUAGGAAAAAGAGUUGCAGUCAAUUGAUCUGUUUUCCUUUGGUCACUGUCAAUUUGGUCCCCUAUCGAAGGUGUUGAGACGCAGAAUGGAAAGUCAUUAACUCCACCUUGUAAAAACAGUGUUGAUUCGUGCCCAUUACUGUGUUCCUUGUUCUACAGCUGUUACGUUUGGCAUGAACCCCUCUGCCUUAAUGAAGGGUAGGUGGCCAGCCUGGAAAGGUGGGCUUGUCACUUGCAUGGCAGCAACGAACCAAAGUCCGCUUGCUACGGACUGGCUGGUGAGUGGUGUCAACUGUGCCUGGAUGCUGACUAUGAGUGGAAUUGGGACCUUUAAUCCCGGCUGAGCCUGCUUCCUGAGCCAGGCUAAAUGUGGAAAUGAAUAAGAAUGUAAACUACCACAUGGAAACAGAGUUAGAAAAUGGGGUUUGGGAAUACCUUGAGCUUUUAGUCAGGUCUGUGAUGUUGAGAAGACACCAUGUUUCCACACAGCCACCCUGAACGGUCAUGCUCCCAAACACAUGCUUAGCCACUGUCAUGUAGCAGGUCAUCUCUUUCUGGCAGUUGUGUGUCCCCAGCGCCCAGCUCUGAUGAGGUUUCGUGGUUUAUUUUGGUGCUCAGGAAAUAGCACAGGAAAAGGCCAGAAAAACAACGGCUCCAUAUAGACAGAAAGACAAUUAAAACUGAUAUGACUCUUAACAGAAGUGGCAAGAGCAGGCAGGAUGGAAGUAAUUUAUUCAACGAAUUGUCCAAAUACAUAAAAUUGCACUGAUGUAUGGUGCAGCGGUGGGACAGUGGAAAAUUUGAUAGUUGUUUCCGUUGUGUGAAUUACUCAGACAGGAUGCCUUUGUGAAGUAUGGGGGUUUGUUUAAUGUUCUGACAACAAUUUAGAUCCUGUUAUGGUUAUUGCAGUGUAAUGCCAUAGUAAAAAUUGAACAUGACACACCAGCAAUUUAUUAUUUGUGUGUUUUUUAACCUUGGGUAUCGGAUUGUUUGUCCAAGCAUAUCCUUUGAUUUGCUAUGAAAUUUAUUGUUGAUAAAAACAAUCAGAUUUCCAUUAG